CCUACGGGUGGCAGCAGUGGGGAAUAUUGGGCAAUGGGCGCAAGCCUGACCCAGCAACGCCGCGUGAAGGAAGAAGGCUUUCGGGUUGUACACUUCUUUUCUCAGGGACGAAGCAAGUGACGGUACCUGAGGAAUAAGCCACGGCUAACUACGUGCCAGCAGCCGCGGUAAUACGUAGGUGGCAAGCGGUAUCCGGCUUUACUGGGUGUAAAGGGCGUGUAGGCGGGACUGCAAGUCAGAUGUGAAAACCACGGGCUCAACCUGUGGCCUGCAUUUGAAACUGUAGUGCUUGAGUACUGGAGAGGCAGACGGAAUUCCUAGUGUAGCGGUGAAAGGCGUAGAUAUUAGGAGGAACACCAGUGGCGAAGGCGGUCUGCGGGACAGCAACUGACGCUGAGGCGCGAAAGCGUGGGGAGCAAACAGGAUUAGAUACCCCUGUAGGC
This 443-nucleotide ribosomal RNA is filed under the name uncultured bacterium. RNAcentral describes it as "partial 16S ribosomal RNA". It matches the Rfam family "Bacterial small subunit ribosomal RNA", at positions 338 to 795 of the family's 1533-position model. The record is from RNAcentral.